This 1221-nucleotide long non-coding RNA is filed under the name Meleagris gallopavo (turkey). RNAcentral describes it as "lncRNA (ENSMGAG00000020902.1)". The record is from RNAcentral. Lineage: Eukaryota; Metazoa; Chordata; Aves; Galliformes; Phasianidae.
AUGUACAGACCAACAUAUGUAUCCAUAUGUCCACACACAGACCCACAUAUCUGUCCAUAUGUGCACACACACAAACCCACACAUGUACCCAAAUGUCAACACAUGCAGACCCACACAUGUGCCCAUGUGGGCACAUUCAUGUCCACAUAUGUACCCGUAUGUGCACGCACAGACCCACACGUGUCCAUAUGUGCACAUAGACCCACAUAUGUGCCCAUAUGUCCACAUACACAGACCCACACAUGUACCCAGAUGCAGACACACACACUCUGUCCCACACACACACCCACAUGUGCACACACACACCCAUGUGUGCUCAUACACGUACCCACAUAUGCACACACACACAUCCCAUAUGUGCUCACACUUGUACCCACAUGUGCACACACACCCCCGUAUGUGCUCACAUGUGCCCAUAUGUGCACACACACACACCCCCGUAUGUGCUCACACGUGCCCAUAUGUGCACACACACACCCCCAUAUGUGCUCACAUGUACCCACAUGUGCACACACACCCACACUCACAUGUUCACACACAUGUACCCACAUGUGCACACACACAUCCCCAUAUGUGCUCACACGUACCCACAUGUGCACACACACCCACAUGUGCACACACACGUACCCACAUGUGCACACACACCCACACCCACAUGUUCACAUACACGUACCCACAUGUGCGCACACACACACCCCCAUAUGUGCUCACACACACCCCCACAUGUGCACACACAUGUACCCAUAUGUGCAAACACACACACACCCAUAUAUGCUUACACACACACUCCCAUAUGUGCUCACACACGUACCCACAUGUGCACACACACAGCCCCAUAGUGCUCACACACACCCACAUGUGCACACACACACACCCCCAUAUGUGCACACACAUGUACCCACAUGUGCACACACACAGCCCCAUAUGUGCUCACACACGUACCCACAUGUGCACACACACACCCCCAUAUGUGCUCACACACGUACCCACAUGUGCACACACACAGCCCUAUAUGUGCUCACACACACCCCACAUGUGCACACACACACCCCCAUAUGUGCACACACACGUACCCACAUGUGCACACACACAGCCCCAUAUGUGCUCACACACCCCCACAUGUGCACACACACACCCCCAUAUGUGCACACACACGUACCCACAUGUGCUCACACACGUACCCACAUGUGCACACACACACACCCCCACAUGUGCACCCCC